Molecule: ribosomal RNA, 2904 nt
Filed under: Enterobacter cloacae
Lineage: Bacteria; Pseudomonadati; Pseudomonadota; Gammaproteobacteria; Enterobacterales; Enterobacteriaceae
Description: 23S ribosomal RNA
Rfam family: Bacterial large subunit ribosomal RNA
Source: RNAcentral
GGUUAAGCGACUAAGCGUACACGGUGGAUGCCCUGGCAGUCAGAGGCGAUGAAGGACGUGCUAAUCUGCGAAAAGCGCCGGCGAGGUGAUAUGAACCCUUGACCCGGCGAUGUCCGAAUGGGGAAACCCAGUGUGAUUCGUCACACUAUCGUUAACUGAAUACAUAGGUUAACGAGGCGAACCGGGGGAACUGAAACAUCUAAGUACCCCGAGGAAAAGAAAUCAACCGAGAUUCCCCCAGUAGCGGCGAGCGAACGGGGAGCAGCCCAGAGUCUGAAUCAGCUUGUGUGUUAGUGGAAGCGUCUGGAAAGUCGCACGGUACAGGGUGAUAGUCCCGUACACGAAAAUGCACAGGCUGUGAACUCGAAGAGUAGGGCGGGACACGUGGUAUCCUGUCUGAAUAUGGGGGGACCAUCCUCCAAGGCUAAAUACUCCUGACUGACCGAUAGUGAACCAGUACCGUGAGGGAAAGGCGAAAAGAACCCCGGCGAGGGGAGUGAAAAAGAACCUGAAACCGUGUACGUACAAGCAGUGGGAGCACCUUCGGGUGUGACUGCGUACCUUUUGUAUAAUGGGUCAGCGACUUAUAUUCUGUAGCAAGGUUAACCGUAUAGGGGAGCCGAAGGGAAACCGAGUCUUAACUGGGCGUUAAGUUGCAGGGUAUAGACCCGAAACCCGGUGAUCUAGCCAUGGGCAGGUUGAAGGUUGGGUAACACUAACUGGAGGACCGAACCGACUAAUGUUGAAAAAUUAGCGGAUGACCUGUGGCUGGGGGUGAAAGGCCAAUCAAACCGGGAGAUAGCUGGUUCUCCCCGAAAGCUAUUUAGGUAGCGCCUCGUGAACUCAUCUUCGGGGGUAGAGCACUGUUUCGGCUAGGGGGCCAUCCCGGCUUACCAACCCGAUGCAAACUACGAAUACCGAAGAAUGUUAUCACGGGAGACACACGGCGGGUGCUAACGUCCGUCGUGAAGAGGGAAACAACCCAGACCGCCAGCUAAGGUCCCAAAGUCAUGGUUAAGUGGGAAACGAUGUGGGAAGGCCCAGACAGCCAGGAUGUUGGCUUAGAAGCAGCCAUCAUUUAAAGAAAGCGUAAUAGCUCACUGGUCGAGUCGGCCUGCGCGGAAGAUGUAACGGGGCUAAACCAUGCACCGAAGCUGCGGCAGCGACGCUUAUGCGUUGUUGGGUAGGGGAGCGUUCUGUAAGCCGUUGAAGGUGGCCUGUGAGGGCUGCUGGAGGUAUCAGAAGUGCGAAUGCUGACAUAAGUAACGAUAAAGCGGGUGAAAAGCCCGCUCGCCGGAAGACCAAGGGUUCCUGUCCAACGUUAAUCGGGGCAGGGUGAGUCGACCCCUAAGGCGAGGCCGAAAGGCGUAGUCGAUGGGAAACAGGUUAAUAUUCCUGUACUUGGUGUUACUGCGAAGGGGGGACGGAGAAGGCUAUGUUAGCCGGGCGACGGUUGUCCCGGUUUAAGCAUGUAGGCGGAGGUUCCAGGUAAAUCCGGUACCUUUUAACGCUGAGGUGUGAUGACGAGGCACUACGGUGCUGAAGUAACAAAUGCCCUGCUUCCAGGAAAAGCCUCUAAGCAUCAGGUAACACGAAAUCGUACCCCAAACCGACACAGGUGGUCAGGUAGAGAAUACCAAGGCGCUUGAGAGAACUCGGGUGAAGGAACUAGGCAAAAUGGUGCCGUAACUUCGGGAGAAGGCACGCUGAUAUGUAGGUGAAGCCCCUGCGGGUGGAGCUGAAAUCAGUCGAAGAUACCAGCUGGCUGCAACUGUUUAUUAAAAACACAGCACUGUGCAAACACGAAAGUGGACGUAUACGGUGUGACGCCUGCCCGGUGCCGGAAGGUUAAUUGAUGGGGUUAGCGGUAACGCGAAGCUCUUGAUCGAAGCCCCGGUAAACGGCGGCCGUAACUAUAACGGUCCUAAGGUAGCGAAAUUCCUUGUCGGGUAAGUUCCGACCUGCACGAAUGGCGUAAUGAUGGCCAGGCUGUCUCCACCCGAGACUCAGUGAAAUUGAACUCGCUGUGAAGAUGCAGUGUACCCGCGGCAAGACGGAAAGACCCCGUGAACCUUUACUAUAGCUUGACACUGAACACUGGUCCUUGAUGUGUAGGAUAGGUGGGAGGCUUUGAAGCGUGGACGCCAGUCUGCGUGGAGCCGUCCUUGAAAUACCACCCUUUAAUGGCUGGUGUUCUAACGUAGACCCGUAAUCCGGGUUGCGGACAGUGUCUGGUGGGUAGUUUGACUGGGGCGGUCUCCUCCCAAAGAGUAACGGAGGAGCACGAAGGUUAGCUAAUCCUGGUCGGACAUCAGGAGGUUAGUGCAAUGGCAUAAGCUAGCUUGACUGCGAGAGUGACGGCUCGAGCAGGUGCGAAAGCAGGUCAUAGUGAUCCGGUGGUUCUGAAUGGAAGGGCCAUCGCUCAACGGAUAAAAGGUACUCCGGGGAUAACAGGCUGAUACCGCCCAAGAGUUCAUAUCGACGGCGGUGUUUGGCACCUCGAUGUCGGCUCAUCACAUCCUGGGGCUGAAGUAGGUCCCAAGGGUAUGGCUGUUCGCCAUUUAAAGUGGUACGCGAGCUGGGUUUAGAACGUCGUGAGACAGUUCGGUCCCUAUCUGCCGUGGGCGCUGGAGAAUUGAGGGGGGCUGCUCCUAGUACGAGAGGACCGGAGUGGACGCAUCACUGGUGUUCGGGUUGUCAUGCCAAUGGCACUGCCCGGUAGCUAAAUGCGGAAGAGAUAAGUGCUGAAAGCAUCUAAGCACGAAACUUUCCCCGAGAUGAGUUCUCCCUGAGACUUAAAGUCUCCUGAAGGAACGUUGAAGACGACGACGUUGAUAGGUCGGGUGUGUAAGCGCAGCGAUGCGUUGAGCUAACCGAUACUAAUGAACCGUGAGGCUUAACCUU